GAUGAACGCUGGCGGCGUGCCUAAUACAUGCAAGUCGAACGAACAGACGAGGAGCUUGCUUCUCUGACGUUAGCGGCGGACAGGUGAGUAACACGUGGAUAACCGACCUAUAAGACUGGGAUAACUUCGGGAAACCUGAACUAAUACCGGAUAAUAUCUUAAACCGACCUGUUCACUAGUGAAAGACGGUUUUGAUGUCACUUAUAGAUGGAUCCGCGCCGCAUUAGCUAGUUGGUAAGGUAACGGCUUACCAAGGCAACGAUGCGUAGCCGACCUGAGAGGGUGAUCGGCCACACUGGAACUGAGACACGGUCCAGACUCCUACGGGAGGCAGCAGUAGGGAAUCUUCCGCAAUGGGCGAAAGCCUGACGGAGCAACGCCGCGUGAGUGAUGAAGGUCUUCGGAUCGUAAAACUCUGUUAUUAGGGAAGAAAAAAUGUGGAAGUAACUAUGAACGUCAUGACGGUACCUAAUCAGAAAGCCACGGCUAACUACGUG
RNAcentral lists this ribosomal RNA (497 nucleotides) under uncultured bacterium. Its description in RNAcentral is "partial 16S ribosomal RNA". It matches the Rfam family "Bacterial small subunit ribosomal RNA", at positions 28 to 507 of the family's 1533-position model. The record is from RNAcentral.